Molecule: ribosomal RNA, 541 nt
Filed under: Mesorhizobium sp.
Lineage: Bacteria; Pseudomonadati; Pseudomonadota; Alphaproteobacteria; Hyphomicrobiales; Phyllobacteriaceae
Description: partial 23S ribosomal RNA
Rfam family: Bacterial large subunit ribosomal RNA
Source: RNAcentral
CUCCUGACUGACCGAUAGUGAACCAGUACCGUGAGGGAAAGGCGAAAAGAACCCCUGUGAGGGGAGUGAAAUAGAACCUGAAACCGUGUACGUACAAGCAGUGGGAGCCCUUCGGGGUGACUGCGUACCUUUUGUAUAAUGGGUCAGCGACUUACAUUUUGUAGCGAGGUUAACCGUAUAGGGGAGCCGUAGGGAAACCGAGUCUUAACUGGGCGUCUAGUUGCAAGGUGUAGACCCGAAACCGGGUGAUCUAGCCAUGGGCAGGUUGAAGGUUGAGUAACAUCAACUGGAGGACCGAACCCACUAACGUUGCAAAGUUAGGGGAUGACCUGUGGCUGGGGGUGAAAGGCCAAUCAAACUCGGAGAUAGCUGGUUCUCCCCGAAAGCUAUUUAGGUAGCGCCUCGGACGAAUACUACUGGGGGUAGAGCACUGUUUGGGCUAGGGGGUCAUCCCGACUUACCAACCCCAUGCAAACUCCGAAUACCAGUAAGUAAUAUCCGGGAGACACACGGCGGGUGCUAACGUCCGUCGUGAAGAGGG